RNAcentral lists this ribosomal RNA (495 nucleotides) under uncultured bacterium. RNAcentral's name for it is "partial 16S ribosomal RNA". It matches the Rfam family "Bacterial small subunit ribosomal RNA", at positions 28 to 507 of the family's 1533-position model. The record is from RNAcentral.
GACGAACGCUGGCGGCGUGCCUAAUACAUGCAAGUCGAACGCUGAAGGAGGAGCUCGCUUCUCUGGAUGAGUUGCGAACGGGUGAGUAACGCGUAGGUAACCUGCCUGGUAGCGGGGGAUGACUAUUGGAAACGAUAGCUAAUACCGCAUAAGAGUAGAUGUUGCAUGACAUUUGCUUAAAAGGUGCAAUUGCAUCACUACCAGAUGGACCUGCGUUGUAUUAGCUAGUUGGUGGGGUAACGGCUCACCAAGGCGACGAUACAUAGCCGACCUGAGAGGGGGAUCCGCCAGACUGGGACUGAGACACGGCCCAGACGCCUACGGGAGGCAGCAGUAGGGAAGCGUCGGAGAUGGACGGAAGUCUGACCGAGCAACGCCGAGUGAGUGAAGAAGGUUUUCGGAUCGUAAAGCUCGGUUGUAAGAGAAGAACGAGUGUGAGAGUGGAAAGUUCACACUGUGACGGUAGCUUACCAGAAAGGGACGGCUAACUACGUG